Molecule: non-coding RNA, 95 nt
Filed under: unclassified sequences
Description: DUF1874 RNA
Rfam family: DUF1874 RNA
About the family: Hot springs metagenome only. Environment (Bison Hot Springs, Yellowstone)
Source: RNAcentral
GUCAGACCUGCGAGGAGAUGGCCAUCCAAGGUAAGUCCUCCCAUAGGGAGGCGCCAUCUCCUGCCGCCAAUCGGCGGUCUUGCAGGUCGGGAGGU